Molecule: ribosomal RNA, 433 nt
Filed under: uncultured bacterium
Lineage: Bacteria
Description: partial 16S ribosomal RNA
Rfam family: Bacterial small subunit ribosomal RNA
Source: RNAcentral
AACGAACGCUGGCGGCAUGCCUAACACAUGCAAGUCGAACGAGACCUUCGGGUCUAGUGGCGCACGUGUGCGUAACGCGUGGGAACCUGCCCUUAGGUUCGGAAUAACUCCCCGAAAGGGGUGCUAAUACCGGAUAAUGUCUUCGGACCAAAGAUUUAUCGCCUUUGGAUGGGCCCGCGUUGGAUUAGCUAGUUGGUAGGGUAAAAGCCUACCAAGGCGACGAUCCAUAGCUGGUCUGAGAGGAUGAUCAGCUACACUGGGACUGAGACACGGCCCAGAAUCCUACGGGAGGCAGCAGUGGGGAAUAUUGGACAAGGGGCGAAAGCCUGAUCCAGCAAGGCCGCGUGAGUGAUGAAGGGCUUAGGGUUGUAAAGCUCUUUUAGCCGGGAUGAUAAUGACAGUACCGGGAGAAUAAGCGCCGGCUAACUACGUG